RNAcentral lists this ribosomal RNA (367 nucleotides) under uncultured Lactobacillus sp. RNAcentral's name for it is "bacterial SSU rRNA". It matches the Rfam family "Bacterial small subunit ribosomal RNA", at positions 150 to 505 of the family's 1533-position model. The record is from RNAcentral. Lineage: Bacteria; Bacillati; Bacillota; Bacilli; Lactobacillales; Lactobacillaceae.
UUGGAANCCANGUGNUAAUACCGGAUAACAACACUAGACGCAUGUCUAGAGUUUGAAAGAUGGUUCUGCUAUCACUCUUGGAUGGACCUGCGGUGCAUUAGCUAGUUGGUAAGGUAACGGCUUACCAAGGCAAUGAUGCAUAGCCGAGUUGAGAGACUGAUCGGCCACAUUGGGACUGAGACACGGCCCAAACUCCUACGGGAGGCAGCAGUAGGGAAUCUUCCACAAUGGACGAAAGUCUGAUGGAGCAACGCCGCGUGAGUGAAGAAGGGUUUCGGCUCGUAAAGCUCUGUUGGUAGUGAAGAAAGAUAGAGGUAGUAACUGGCCUUUAUUGACGGUAAUUACUNAGAAAGUCACGGCAACUAGG